CCUACGGGAGGCAGCAGUGAGGAAUAUUGGUCAAUGGGAGUGAGCCUGAACCAGCCAAGCCGCGUGAGGGAAGACGGCCCUAUGGGUUGUAAACCUCUUUUAUCGGGGAACAAAACCCGGGACGUGUCCCGUUCUGCAUGUACCCUAUGAAUAAGGAUCGGCUAACUCCGUGCCAGCAGCCGCGGUAAUACGGGGGAUGCGAGCGUUAUCCGGAUUUAUUGGGUUUAAAGGGUGCGUAGGCGGCCCUUUAAGUCAGCGGGAAAAGUUGGGGGCUCAACCCCAGCCGGGCCGUUGAAACUGGCGGACUUGAGUUGGUUAGAGGUAGGCGGAAUGCGCGGUGUAGCGGUGAAAUGCAUAGAUAUCGCGCAGAACCCCGAUUGCGAAGGCAGCGUGCC
This 395-nucleotide ribosomal RNA is filed under the name uncultured bacterium. RNAcentral describes it as "partial 16S ribosomal RNA". It matches the Rfam family "Bacterial small subunit ribosomal RNA", at positions 338 to 730 of the family's 1533-position model. The record is from RNAcentral.